This 1063-nucleotide unclassified non-coding RNA is filed under the name Atrozythia lignicola. RNAcentral describes it as "[Arthrographis] lignicola partial contains ITS1, 5.8S rRNA, ITS2". The stretch from base 692 to 846 matches the Rfam family "5.8S ribosomal RNA". The record is from RNAcentral. Lineage: Eukaryota; Fungi; Ascomycota; Sareomycetes; Sareales; Zythiaceae.
GAAAGUAAAGUCGUAACAAGGUUUUACGGAACAACAAGUCCUUCCGCUGGUAACACUUGCCGAAUCCUUAGACAGCCCGAAAGGGUGGCUCCUGACGACUCUAAACAACCAGGGAGCCUCAAAUGCUAGUCCGCCUCGCGAGGUGGGCAACACUGUCAAAUUGCGGGAACACCCUAAAGAUCGUCGACACCAAGCGCUGACCGGAAACGGCGGCGUGGCCGAGCUAACAGCCCUGGGUAUGGUAACAGCUCGACGAUAUGAGCCCGAGCGAUCGGGGGAAGUGGGCAACCUGCAGCCAAGUCCUAACGUCCUCCGGGGACCAUGGAUGCUGUUCACAGGCCAAAUGGCAGUGGGUGGACCAGGUCGAGUGCCUGCGGUCUGCUUAAGAUAUGGUCGGGCCCGCGGUGAAAGCCGGGGGGUUAAGUUUACCCAGCAUGGAGACGCACGGCGUGGCUGCCGUCUCCUGUAAACAUCAACUGUUCCGUAGGUGAACCUGCGGAAGGAUCAUUAAAGAGUGAGGGUCCUCUGUCGGCCCAACCUCCCAACCCUCUGUGUACCUACCUCUGUUGCUUCGGCGGGAUGCUGAGGUGUUAACCCACCUUGGCCGCUGGCUCUCAGCCGGCGCGCGCCCGCCAGAGGCCCUACCAAACUCUGUUUAUCAGUGUCGUCUGAGUUAAUACACAAAUCGUUAAACUUUCAAACAACGGAUCUCUUGGUUUCUGGCAUCGAUGAAGAACGCAGCGGAAUGCGAUAAGUAAUGUGAAUUGCAGAAUUCAUGAAUAAUCGAAUCUUUGAACGCACAUUGCGCCCCUUGGCAUUCCGAGGGGCAUGCCUGUUCGAGCGUCAUUUCACCACUCAAGCUCUGCUUGGUAUUGGGCCCUCGUCCGACCGGACGUGCCUGAAAACCAGUGGCGGGACCGCCCGACUUCAAGCGCAGUAAUUUCUUCUCGCUUUGGAAGGACGGGUCGAGUCGCCAGCCAGAUAAACCCCUUUAUCUUUUUAUGGUUGACCUCGGAUCAGGUAGGGAUACCCGCUGAACUUAAGCAUAUCAAUAAGCGGAGGA